This 1034-nucleotide long non-coding RNA is filed under the name Canis lupus familiaris (dog). RNAcentral's name for it is "lncRNA (ENSCAFG00000056084.1)". The record is from RNAcentral. Lineage: Eukaryota; Metazoa; Chordata; Mammalia; Carnivora; Canidae.
CUAAUUUGCCUCCUAUUUGAUGAUAAUGCCAACUAUUGACUAAGGCAAAAUCCCUCAGCUUGCCAACCAAAAAAAAAUCACUUAUUCAGAAAAUGGCUCAUAUAGGAAAGAAGCAGCUGCUUUUGCAAUUGACACAAAUGAGCCAAAAUUUGUUUCUCUAGAAAAAAAAAUUCAUUCCGGUGAUUCAUUUAGCUUCACUGGUGAGGUUUUGGUGAAGUCAAGAGAAGUGGAAAAUGAAGGAUAAAGGAAUACCAAGAAGGCUGUAAACCUGCAUGACGAAUUCCAGCCCAGAGCAACAUUUUUAUGAUCCAGUGUCAAGUUCUUGAAAAAUGAAAAAUGAGAGGAAAGAGAGAUUUAACUGUAAUGUGGAUACAUUUUGGACUGGAUGUUACCAAUUGAAUAAGACAUUGUCACCAAGUUAAAUUGAAAGUUGACGUAUGUCAACUCAAAACAGAUGAGAAACGGCAGGGUGCUUUAUGGAUUGAGAGCCAAGAAGAAUCCACUUCUGAUGGAUACGAGAAGAUAAAAGGAAUUCAAAUAAUGUGUAUCUGGGAAACUUGCUGUAAAAUACCAGAUGUAAUAGUGGUUAUGGAAAUCACCAAAGAGUAGAACAUAGAACCAACCCAUGGAAUUGGAAAGAUGCAGUAAACGCAUUUGCAAAGGUAAAUUUUCUAAUGUGGGUCAUAAGUAUUAAAUAUAUGAAAUGAAUAGUAGGUGCUGUUGGAACUUAGAAAAAGAGGUAUAAUUUCUAGAAGGAAUGAGCUUUGCACUGUUUCCUGAAGGAUGGAUCUGAUUUGAAUAGGUCAAGGAGAUAGGUGGUGCCAUAAGGGAGCCUGAUUAGCGAUGCCUCUUUCAAUUCCCAAGCACAGAAGCCCAAUAUAAACUGACUCAUGCAGGAGGAGUGGUCCUGGGGCUUCCAUGUGGCUGGAGUCACAGGGUCCUAUAAUUUGAAUUGGUUUCUCUCCCUCUCUUGGCUCUGCUUUCCUCUGCAUUGACUUUUGUCUCAGACUCCUGACUCCACCUGGUAGCUGCCA